CCCUUAGAUGUUCUGGGCCGCACACGCGCUACACUGAAGGAGGCAGCGUGUACUCCUGGAUCGAAAGAUUUGGGUAACCCGCGAAUCUCCUUCGUGCUAGGGAUUGAGGUUUGCAAUUAUCCUUCAUGAACGAGGAAUUCCCAGUAAGUGCAAGUCAUAAGCUUGCGCUGACUACGUCCCUGCCCUUUGUACACACCGCCCGUCGCUACUGCCGAUUGAAUGAUUUAGUGAGGACUUCGGACUGGGACCGAUGCGGCUUUCGGGCUGCGUCGGUAUUCUGGAAAGAUGUCCAAACUGUAUCAUUUAGAGGAAGUAAAAGUCGUAACA
This 327-nucleotide ribosomal RNA is filed under the name uncultured eukaryote. Its description in RNAcentral is "partial 18S ribosomal RNA". It matches the Rfam family "Eukaryotic small subunit ribosomal RNA", at positions 1470 to 1796 of the family's 1831-position model. The record is from RNAcentral.